Molecule: ribosomal RNA, 896 nt
Filed under: uncultured Moraxella sp.
Lineage: Bacteria; Pseudomonadati; Pseudomonadota; Gammaproteobacteria; Moraxellales; Moraxellaceae
Description: bacterial SSU rRNA
Rfam family: Bacterial small subunit ribosomal RNA
Source: RNAcentral
UACCAGCUUGCUGGUAUGAUUAGUGGCGAACGGGUGAGUAAUGCUUAGGAAUCUGCCUAUUAGUGGGGGACAACAUUCCGAAAGGAAUGCUAAUACCGCAUACGUCCUAUGGGAGAAAGCAGGGGAUCGCAAGACCUUGCGCUAAUAGAUGAGCCUAAGUCGGAUUAGCUAGUUGGUGGGGUAAAGGCCUACCAAGGCAACGAUCUGUAGCUGGUCUGAGAGGAUGAUCAGCCACACUGGGACUGAGACACGGCCCAGACUCCUACGGGAGGCAGCAGUGGGGAAUAUUGGACAAUGGGCGAAAGCCUGAUCCAGCCAUGCCGCGUGUGUGAAGAAGGCCUUUUGGUUGUAAAGCACUUUAAGUGGGGAGGAAAAGCUAAUAAUUAAUACCUAUUAGCCCUGACGUUACCCACAGAAUAAGCACCGGCUAACUCUGUGCCAGCAGCCGCGGUAAUACAGAGGGUGCAAGCGUUAAUCGGAAUUACUGGGCGUAAAGCGAGCGUAGGUGGUCAUUUAAGUCAGAUGUGAAAUCCCCGGGCUUAACCUGGGAACUGCAUCUGAUACUGGGUGACUAGAGUAGGUGAGAGGGAAGUAGAAUUCCAGGUGUAGCGGUGAAAUGCGUAGAGAUCUGGAGGAAUACCGAUGGCGAAGGCAGCUUCCUGGCAUCAUACUGACACUGAGGUUCGAAAGCGUGGGUAGCAAACAGGAUUAGAUACCCUGGUAGUCCACGCCGUAAACGAUGUCUACCAGUCGUUGGGUCUCUUGAAGACUUAGUGACGCAGUUAACGCGAUAAGUAGACCGCCUGGGGAGUACGGCCGCAAGGUUAAAACUCAAAUGAAUUGACGGGGGCCCGCACAAGCGGUGGAGCAUGUGGUUUAAUUCGAUGCAACGCGAA